RNAcentral lists this ribosomal RNA (124 nucleotides) under Diaphorina citri (Asian citrus psyllid). Lineage: Eukaryota; Metazoa; Arthropoda; Insecta; Hemiptera; Psyllidae. The record is from RNAcentral.
ACCAGCGGUGAUAGCACGUAGCUCGUUGGAUGCACUGUUCCCGACGGAUCAUUAAAGUUAAGCAUCGAUGCGCGUGUUUAGUACCUAGAUGGGUGGCCAUCUGGGGAAUCACAUGCUGCUGGGU